UACAGAGGGGCAAGCGUUGUUCGGAAUUACUGGGCGUAAAGGGCGCGUAGGCGGCCUUCUAAGUCGAACGUGAAAUCCCCGGGCUCAACCCGGGAACUGCGUCCGAUACUGGAAGGCUUGAAUCCGGGAGAGGGAUGCGGAAUUCCAGGUGUAGCGGUGAAAUGCGUAGAUAUCUGGAGGAACACCGGUGGCGAAGGCGGCAGUCCUGGACCGGCAUUGACGCUGAGGCGCGAAAGCCAGGGAGCAAAGCGGG
RNAcentral lists this ribosomal RNA (253 nucleotides) under uncultured bacterium. Its description in RNAcentral is "partial 16S ribosomal RNA". It matches the Rfam family "Bacterial small subunit ribosomal RNA", at positions 524 to 777 of the family's 1533-position model. The record is from RNAcentral.